GGCUCAGAACGAACGCUGGCGGCGCGCUUAAUACAUGCAAGUCGAGCGAGAAGACGUAGCAAUACGUUUGUAAAGCGGCGAACGGGUGAGGAAUACAUGGGUAACCUACCCUCGAGUGGGGAAUAACUAGCCGAAAGGUUAGCUAAUACCGCAUACGACUCCUGGUCUGCGGAUCGGGAGAGAAAGCGAUACCGUGGGUAUCGCGCUCUUGGAUGGGCUCAUGUCCUAUCAGCUAGUUGGUGAGGUAACGGCUCACCAAGGCUUCGACGGGUAGCUGGUCUGAGAGGACGAUCAGCCACACUGGCACUGCGACACGGGCCAGACUCCUACGGGAGGCAGCAGUAAGGAAUAUUGCGCAAUGGACGAAAGUCUGACGCAGCGACGCCGCGUGGGGGAUGAAGGUCUUCGGAUUGUAAACCCCUUUCGGGAGGGAAGAUGGAGUGGGUAACCACCUGGACGGUACCUCCAGAAGCAGCCACGGCUAACUUCGUGCCAGCAGCCGCGGUAAUACGAAGGUGGCAAGCGUUGUUCGGAUUCACUGGGCGUACAGGGAGCGUAGGCGGUUCGGUAAGCCCUCUGUGAAAUCUCCAGGCUUAACCUGGAACAGUCGGAGGGGACUGCUGGGCUAGAGGACGGGAGAGGAGCGCGGAAUUCCCGGUGUAGCGGUGAAGUGCGUAGAGA
RNAcentral lists this ribosomal RNA (681 nucleotides) under uncultured nitrite-oxidizing bacterium. RNAcentral describes it as "bacterial SSU rRNA". It matches the Rfam family "Bacterial small subunit ribosomal RNA", at positions 21 to 696 of the family's 1533-position model. The record is from RNAcentral.